AAGGACCCGGUGAAAGCCCGGGUGGCUCUUCCGGCCGCCGAUCCGCCGGACCAC
Molecule: non-coding RNA, 54 nt
Filed under: Methylobacterium radiotolerans
Lineage: Bacteria; Pseudomonadati; Pseudomonadota; Alphaproteobacteria; Hyphomicrobiales; Methylobacteriaceae
Also listed under: 2 other names
Description: sul1 RNA
Rfam family: sul1 RNA
Source: RNAcentral